CCCCCGGGGCGGAGGAACGCCCUUGCAUUUGCAAGGAGGCGUAAAGGUUGGAAGCCACCCGUCUUGAAACACGGACCAAGGAGUCUUACGUCUAUGCGAGUGUUUGGGUGGCAAACCCCCCGCGCAAUGAAAGUGAGCGGAGGUGGGAGACCCUUAGGGUGCAUCAUCGACCGAUCCUGAUGUUUUCGGAUGGAUUUGAGUAAGAGCAUAGCUGUUGGGACCCGAAAGAUGGUGAACUAUGCCUGAAUAGGGUGAAGCCAGAGGAAACUCUGGUGGAGGCUCGCAGCGGUUCUGACGUGCAAAUCGAUCGU
RNAcentral lists this ribosomal RNA (311 nucleotides) under Umbilicaria vellea. RNAcentral's name for it is "eukaryotic LSU rRNA". It matches the Rfam family "Eukaryotic large subunit ribosomal RNA", at positions 591 to 905 of the family's 3401-position model. Lineage: Eukaryota; Fungi; Ascomycota; Lecanoromycetes; Umbilicariales; Umbilicariaceae. The record is from RNAcentral.